UACGAGGGGGGCAAGCGUUGUUCGGAAUUAUUGGGCGUAAAGAGCUCGUAGGUGGCCUGUCGCGUCGGCUGUGAAAACUCGGGGCUCAACUCCGAGCUUGCAGUCGAUACGGGCAGGCUAGAGUUCGGCAGGGGAGACUGGAAUUCCUGGUGUAGCGGUGAAAUGCGCAGAUAUCGGGAAGAACACCCGUGGCGAAGGCGGCACUCUGGGACGGUACUGACGCUGAGACGCGAAAGCGUGGGGAGCGAACAGG
RNAcentral lists this ribosomal RNA (253 nucleotides) under uncultured bacterium. RNAcentral's name for it is "partial 16S ribosomal RNA". It matches the Rfam family "Bacterial small subunit ribosomal RNA", at positions 524 to 776 of the family's 1533-position model. The record is from RNAcentral.